This is a non-coding RNA of Pelobates cultripes (western spadefoot toad), 2158 nucleotides long. The record is from the annotation of a GenBank genome assembly. Lineage: Eukaryota; Metazoa; Chordata; Amphibia; Anura; Pelobatidae.
GUACACUUGGUGAGGGCACCUUUUGCAAGCAGGGUCUCAACUUGCUUGGUGAUGGCUUCAGCUUGUGCUGGCUUCAGAGGAUACUGAGGUCUACGAGGGGGGAGUGCACCAGGCAGGAGCUGGACCAGGACUGGGGGUACAUGUAAGCGUCCAAUAUCAUCCGGGCCGGUGGACCAAAGUUCUUGGGGGAUACGAUCCAGGGCACUGGGGGUGUGUGUGACCCGUGCAUUCCCUGUAUUGUCAGUUAGAUUCAACAAAAUUGGGAGUGAGCAGAGUACAGAAGUAUCUUUCUGCGAUAAGGGGGUUGUCAACUCAACCUGUCCAUCAGCAGUAAAGGUAAUGGAAGCCUGGAGCCGAGAGAGAACAUCGGCACCUAGGAGGUUAAUGGGGCAGGUGGAGGAAACAACAAAACGGGACAGGAUAUGUGAGCCUACAUGUAAGAGCUUGGUGAGGGGGUUACUGCGUGGUGUACCAUCCACCCCAACACAGGAGACAUCAGUGUCAGAUAGGAAGGAAGGGUCUGGCAGGUCUUGUUCCCUAAGGACACUACGGGCUGCACCUGUGUCAACUAAAAAGGUGGUUGGGUGACCCUCCACGGGGAGAACUACAGUAGCUAAAGGUCCUCCUCCAUCCCCCGCAGACACUGCCAUGGCAGGGGUUGCUGACACAGGCUUGCCAGUUACCUAUUGUAAUAAAUCUAGGUGGGCUUGAUCCGGUCCCUGGUACCGGCGGGAGGUGGAGGGAGGGUUAGCAGUAUGCAUAGGUGGGCGGGAUGGACGGAGGGCAUGGCGGGGAUGAGGUGGGUUGUCUUGGAGGUCAUCAGUAUCAUACCCUUCAGCGGAGGGCGAGGUGUAUGCACGGGCUUCUGCUGCGGGGAGCCGGGCUUGGGAAUACUCAGGAGGCGGAGGGGGAGGAGGUGGAGGAGGUAACUGAGGCAACUGUGGAUGGGGUAGGGCAGGGAGGUAACCGGUGGAGGGGAAACUGUAACUGGUGACAUGUGGAUUUUGGUACCGGGGAGUCUGCUGGCGGAACACUCUAGGGUGUGGGCAAUCUCUUCUAAAGUGACCUGGCUGAUUACAAUUAAAGCAGGUCCGGAUUGUCGUGACAGACCGAUCACGGGAGAAAGGGAUUGGUGCAGGCAGUGUCUGGGGGGGCUGGGUGUACUGUUGGGGAAACAUCUGAGGACCCUGGCUUGGACCAGCGAAUGGGGUGGAGGUAGCAUACAUCAGAGGACUGGGUCUACGUUGUGUAGGUAGCAAAACAGAUUCUAAGCCCUUGGCAACUAGCAAAAGAGUGUCCAGUGGAAUAAUUCUAUACUCAGGCCGAGCUAAGAUUAACCCCUUACGGAUGUGUUCUCUAAGCCCUGCCACAAAGGCUGCAGAUAGCAUCUGGGUGUGUGCUUUGUUGUAAGUACUAAACCCUAAGUCUGAAAAAGUCUGAGUCAACCUAGAGUGAUACUUCUCAACUGUCUCAAGUUUGUCCUGUAUAAUGUCAUUAAUGCAAGUAGCCUGAUCUGCUAGUUUAUCCUGUGCCCAAGCUCGAAGCUGUUCACAAAAGACUUCACCAGAACGAAAGUCAGUAUCAGAAGUAAGUGGAGCGUCAUUAAAACUCCGUUCCAUGAUUGGCCAGUAUGCAUCACCGGCUUUGAUUUCACAUAGACUAAUAAGAUCCCGCCAAGCAGCGGAGUACGUUUUACGGAUCUGAGCCAUCCGGCGGAAAAAGGGCAUAGGGUGUUUUUCAGGAUCGGGGAGUGAGGUCACAAGGGUAGCAGCUUGGGAAGGGUUAAAGGUAACAUACAUAGGCGGUGCUCCAUCCGCACCAUGGUUGAUCGGGAUGUAACCUUGAGGGAUAGUGUGCUGUUGGGGGAGCCUAUUCACCCCCACCUGGGGCGAAUUCUGGUCAACCGCAACAACCUCUUCGGGCAACACUGGGCCACGGCGGAGGGUAGCCUCAGGGGUAGCUGUAGCGGGGACAACAGGGAGGGCCGUGGUAGGUAAGGUAACUGGGUGGAAACCCGAAGCCUGGGGGGAGGCACCCAUUGCAUAGGGCUGGUCAGAUGUCCCAGACACCUCGGAUCCAACCACCAUGAUUGGGUAACUUGGACUGGCGGAAGGGACACGAGGGACCAGAGCCGUGGAAGGGGCUGUCACAGGGGCCG